AGUCGACGAGAACGGGAUAUAGCUUGCUAUAUUUGUCAGCUAAGUGGCGCACGGGUGAGUAAUGUACAGAUAACCUGCCCUUAAGAAAGGAAUAACAGUUGGAAACGACUGCUAAUGCCCUAUAUGCCUUUAAUACAUAAGUAUGCAAGGGAAACGCUUUAGUGCUUAAGGAUGGGUCUGUAUGGUAUCAGCUUGUUGGUGAGGUAAUGGCUCACCAAGGCUAUGACGCCUAACUGGUUUGAGAGGAUGAUCAGUCACACUGGAACUGAGACACGGUCCAGACUCCUACGGGAGGCAGCAGUGGGGAAUAUUGCACAAUGGACGAAAGUCUGAUGCAGCAACGCCGCGUGGAGGAUGACACAUUUCGGUGCGCAAACUCCUUUUAUAUAGGAAGAUAAUGACGGUACUAUAUGAAUAAGCACCGGCUAACUCCGUGCCAGCAGCCGCGGUAAUACGGAGGGUGCAAGCGUUACUCGGAAUCACUGGGCGUAAAGAGCGUGUAGGCGGGUAUAUAAGUCAGAAGUGAAAUCCAAUAGCUUAACUAUUGAACUGCUUUUGAAACUGUAUACCUAGAAUGUGGGAGAGGUGGAUGGAAUUUCUGGUGUAGGGGUAAAAUCCGUAGAGAUCAGAAGGAAUACCGAUUGCGAAGGCGAUCUACUGGAACAUUAUUGACGCUGAGACGCGAAAGCGUGGGGAGCAAACAGGA
This 706-nucleotide ribosomal RNA is filed under the name uncultured bacterium. Its description in RNAcentral is "bacterial SSU rRNA". It matches the Rfam family "Bacterial small subunit ribosomal RNA", at positions 60 to 777 of the family's 1533-position model. The record is from RNAcentral.